UCCUUUUGGCUUAGAAUUUCUGUCAAAGUGAGUGUAGUGAGGAUUUUGGGAGCGCCAAAACUGCUUUCACUCUGAGAGAUUUUUCUUGUAUCUCAAGUUUCUCUGCUGCUUUUGAUUUUUCACCUGUUUUGGUUGUCUGUGAAUAUUUGCCUUCUGUUUCGGCUUCUUAGCAACAGGUUCACUCUUCAUGGAAGAGGUUUAGCUAGUUGAGGUGACAUCUUCCAUUGGAAUCUCUUUUGUGCCGUGUUUCGGCUUCUUAGCAACAGGUUCACUCUUCAUGGAAGAGGUUUAGCUAGUUGAGGUGACAUCUUCCAUUGGAAUCUCUUUUGUGCCGUUG
RNAcentral lists this long non-coding RNA (337 nucleotides) under Lactuca sativa (garden lettuce). Its description in RNAcentral is "long non-coding RNA (LSAT_LNC005790)". The record is from RNAcentral. Lineage: Eukaryota; Viridiplantae; Streptophyta; Magnoliopsida; Asterales; Asteraceae.